This 433-nucleotide ribosomal RNA is filed under the name uncultured bacterium. RNAcentral describes it as "bacterial SSU rRNA". It matches the Rfam family "Bacterial small subunit ribosomal RNA", at positions 29 to 453 of the family's 1533-position model. The record is from RNAcentral.
AAUGAACGCUGGCGGCGCGCCUAAUACAUGCAAGUCGAGCGAGAAGACGUAGCAAUACGUUUGUAAAGCGGCGAACGGGUGAGGAAUACAUGGGUAACCUACCCUCGAGUGGGGAAUAACUAGCCGAAAGGUUAGCUAAUACCGCGUACGCUUCUUGGACUUCGGUUCAGGGAGGAAAGCGAUGCCGAGGGUAUCGCGCUCUUGGAUGGGCUCAUGUCCUAUCAGCUUGNGGUGAGGUAACGGCUCACCAAGGCUUCGACGGGUAGCUGGUCUGAGAGGACGAUCAGCCACACUGGCACUGCGACACGGGCCAGACUCCUACGGGAGGCAGCAGUAAGGAAUAUUGCGCAAUGGGCGAAAGCCUGACGCAGCGACGCCGCGUGGGGGAUGAAGGUCUUCGGAUUGUAAACCCCUUUCGGGAGGGAAGAUGGAA